This 254-nucleotide ribosomal RNA is filed under the name uncultured bacterium. RNAcentral describes it as "partial 16S ribosomal RNA". It matches the Rfam family "Bacterial small subunit ribosomal RNA", at positions 524 to 776 of the family's 1533-position model. The record is from RNAcentral.
UACGUAGGGUGCGAGCGUUGUCCGGAAUUAUUGGGCGUAAAGAGCUCGUAGGCGGUGUGUCACGUCGGCCGUGAAAACCUGGGGCUUAACUCUGGGCGUGCGGUCGAUACGGGCAUCACUAGAGUUCGGCAGGGGAGACUGGAAUUCCUGGUGUAGUGGUGAAAUGCGCAGAUAUCAGGAGGAACACCGGUGGCGAAGGCGGUUCUCUGGGCAUGUCCUGACGCUGAGGAGCGAAAGUGUGGGGAGCGAACAGG